This 2358-nucleotide ribosomal RNA is filed under the name Salmonella enterica subsp. enterica serovar Enteritidis. RNAcentral describes it as "bacterial LSU rRNA". It matches the Rfam family "Bacterial large subunit ribosomal RNA", at positions 600 to 2925 of the family's 2925-position model. Lineage: Bacteria; Pseudomonadati; Pseudomonadota; Gammaproteobacteria; Enterobacterales; Enterobacteriaceae. The record is from RNAcentral.
CGUACCUUUUGUAUAAUGGGUCAGCGACUUAUAUUCUGUAGCAAGGUUAACCGAAUAGGGGAGCCGGAGGGAAACCGAGUCUUAACCGGGCGUUAAGUUGCAGGGUAUAGACCCGAAACCCGGUGAUCUAGCCAUGGGCAGGUUGAAGGUUGGGUAACACUAACUGGAGGACCGAACCGACUAAUGUUGAAAAAUUAGCGGAUGACCUGUGGCUGGGGGUGAAAGGCCAAUCAAACCGGGAGAUAGCUGGUUCUCCCCGAAAGCUAUUUAGGUAGCGCCUCGUGAAUUCAUCUCCGGGGGUAGAGCACUGUUUCGGCUAGGGGGCCAUCCCGGCUUACCAACCCGAUGCAAACUGCGAAUACCGGAGAAUGUUAUCACGGGAGACACACGGCGGGUGCUAACGUCCGUCGUGAAGAGGGAAACAACCCAGACCGCCAGCUAAGGUCCCAAAGUCAUGGUUAAGUGGGAAACGAUGUGGGAAGGCCCAGACAGCCAGGAUGUUGGCUUAGAAGCAGCCAUCAUUUAAAGAAAGCGUAAUAGCUCACUGGUCGAGUCGGCCUGCGCGGAAGAUGUAACGGGGCUAAACCAUGCACCGAAGCUGCGGCAGCGACACUGUGUGUUGUUGGGUAGGGGAGCGUUCUGUAAGCCUGUGAAGGUGUGUCGUGAGGCAUGCUGGAGGUAUCAGAAGUGCGAAUGCUGACAUAAGUAACGAUAAAGCGGGUGAAAAGCCCGCUCGCCGGAAGACCAAGGGUUCCUGUCCAACGUUAAUCGGGGCAGGGUGAGUCGACCCCUAAGGCGAGGCCGAAAGGCGUAGUCGAUGGGAAACGGGUUAAUAUUCCCGUACUUGGUGUUACUGCGAAGGGGGGACGGAGAAGGCUAUGUUGGCCGGGCGACGGUUGUCCCGGUUUAAGCGUGUAGGUGUGUGUUCCAGGUAAAUCCGGUUCACUUUAACACUGAGGCGUGACGACGAGGCACUACGGUGCUGAAGCAACAAAUGCCCUGCUUCCAGGAAAAGCCUCUAAGCAUCAGGUAACAUCAAAUCGUACCCCAAACCGACACAGGUGGUCAGGUAGAGAAUACCAAGGCGCUUGAGAGAACUCGGGUGAAGGAACUAGGCAAAAUGGUGCCGUAACUUCGGGAGAAGGCACGCUGACACGUAGGUGAAGUGAUUUACUCAUGGAGCUGAAGUCAGUCGAAGAUACCAGCUGGCUGCAACUGUUUAUUAAAAACACAGCACUGUGCAAACACGAAAGUGGACGUAUACGGUGUGACGCCUGCCCGGUGCCGGAAGGUUAAUUGAUGGGGUCAGCGCAAGCGAAGCUCCUGAUCGAAGCCCCGGUAAACGGCGGCCGUAACUAUAACGGUCCUAAGGUAGCGAAAUUCCUUGUCGGGUAAGUUCCGACCUGCACGAAUGGCGUAAUGAUGGCCAGGCUGUCUCCACCCGAGACUCAGUGAAAUUGAACUCGCUGUGAAGAUGCAGUGUACCCGCGGCAAGACGGAAAGACCCCGUGAACCUUUACUAUAGCUUGACACUGAACAUUGAGCCUUGAUGUGUAGGAUAGGUGGGAGGCUUUGAAGUGUGGACGCCAGUCUGCAUGGAGCCGACCUUGAAAUACCACCCUUUAAUGUUUGAUGUUCUAACGUGGACCCGUUACCCGGGUUGCGGACAGUGUCUGGUGGGUAGUUUGACUGGGGCGGUCUCCUCCUAAAGAGUAACGGAGGAGCACGAAGGUUGGCUAAUCCUGGUCGGACAUCAGGAGGUUAGUGCAAUGGCAUAAGCCAGCUUGACUGCGAGCGUGACGGCGCGAGCAGGUGCGAAAGCAGGUCAUAGUGAUCCGGUGGUUCUGAAUGGAAGGGCCAUCGCUCAACGGAUAAAAGGUACUCCGGGGAUAACAGGCUGAUACCGCCCAAGAGUUCAUAUCGACGGCGGUGUUUGGCACCUCGAUGUCGGCUCAUCACAUCCUGGGGCUGAAGUAGGUCCCAAGGGUAUGGCUGUUCGCCAUUUAAAGUGGUACGCGAGCUGGGUUUAGAACGUCGUGAGACAGUUCGGUCCCUAUCUGCCGUGGGCGCUGGAGAACUGAGGGGGGCUGCUCCUAGUACGAGAGGACCGGAGUGGACGCAUCACUGGUGUUCGGGUUGUCAUGCCAAUGGCACUGCCCGGUAGCUAAAUGCGGAAGAGAUAAGUGCUGAAAGCAUCUAAGCACGAAACUUGCCCCGAGAUGAGUUCUCCCUGAGACUUAGAGUCUCCUGAAGGAACGUUGAAGACGACGACGUUGAUAGGCCGGGUGUGUAAGCGCAGCGAUGCGUUGAGCUAACCGGUACUAAUGAACCGUGAGGCUUAACCUUACAACGCCGAAG